RNAcentral lists this ribosomal RNA (253 nucleotides) under uncultured bacterium. RNAcentral describes it as "partial 16S ribosomal RNA". It matches the Rfam family "Bacterial small subunit ribosomal RNA", at positions 524 to 776 of the family's 1533-position model. The record is from RNAcentral.
UACGUAUGGUGCAAGCGUUAUCCGGAUUUACUGGGCGUAAAGGGAGCGCAGGCGGCGCGCCAAGUCUGAUGUGAAACCCCGGGGCUCAACCCCGGGCAUGCAUUGGAAACUGGCGGGCUGGAGUGCCGGAGAGGUAAGCGGAAUUCCUAGUGUAGCGGUGAAAUGCGUAGAUAUUAGGAGGAACACCAGUGGCGAAGGCGGCUUACUGGACGGCAACUGACACUGAGGCACGAAAGCGUGGGGAGCAAACAGG